GAUGAACGCUGGCGGCGUGCCUAAUACAUGCAAGUCGAGCGAACAGACGAGGAGCUUGCUCCUCUGACGUUAGCGGCGGACGGGUGAGUAACACGUGGAUAAGCUACCUAUAAGACUGGGAUAACUUCGGGAAACCGGAGCUAAUACCGGAUAAUAUAUUAAAACGCAUGGUUCAAUAGUGAAAGACGGUUUUGCUGUCACUUAUAGAUGGAUCCGCGCCGCAUUAGCUAGUUGGUAAGGUAACGGCUUACCAAGGCAACGAUCCGUAGCCGACCUGAGAGGGUGAUCGGCCACACUGGAACUGAGACACGGUCCAGACUCCUACGGGAGGCAGCAGUAGGGAAUCUUCCGCAAUGGGCGAAAGCCUGACGGAGCAACGCCGCGUGUGUGAUGAAGGUCUUCGGAUCGUAAAACUCUGUUAUUCGGGAAGAACAAAUGUGUAAGUAACUAUGCACGUCUUGACGGUACCUAAUCAGAAAGCCACGGCUAACUACGUG
This 497-nucleotide ribosomal RNA is filed under the name uncultured bacterium. Its description in RNAcentral is "partial 16S ribosomal RNA". It matches the Rfam family "Bacterial small subunit ribosomal RNA", at positions 28 to 507 of the family's 1533-position model. The record is from RNAcentral.